RNAcentral lists this ribosomal RNA (495 nucleotides) under Pristimantis aff. taeniatus 3 AJC-2011. RNAcentral describes it as "partial 16S ribosomal RNA". It matches the Rfam family "Bacterial large subunit ribosomal RNA", at positions 1835 to 2597 of the family's 2925-position model. The record is from RNAcentral. Lineage: Eukaryota; Metazoa; Chordata; Amphibia; Anura; Strabomantidae.
CACCUCUUGAUAAGAGGCCCAGCCUGCCCAGUGACGUUCAACGGCCGCGGUAUUCUAACCGUGCGAAGGUAGCGUAAUCACUUGUUUUCUAAAUAAAGACCAGUAUGAAAGGCAUCACGAGGAUUAAGCUGUCUCCUUUUUCCAAUCAGUAAACCUAAUCUCCCCGUGAAGAAGCGGGGAUAAAAAUAUAAGACGAGAAGACCCUGUGGAGCUUAAAACAUUAUAACACUUGCACUAUAAUUAUAUGUUUUUGGUUGGGGUGACCAUGGAGAAAAACUAAUCCUCCAUAAAGCAAUAAGUUACAACUUUAAGCAUCAAAAACCUGACAUAUCGACCCAAUAAAUUGAUCAAUGAACCAAGUUACCCCAGGGAUAACAGCACAAUCCACUUUGAGAGCUCCUAUCGACAAGUGGGCUUAUGACCUCGAUGUUGGAUCGGGGUAUCCCAGUGGUGCAGCCGCUACUAAAGGUUCGUUUGUUCAACGAUUAAAACCCC